RNAcentral lists this ribosomal RNA (497 nucleotides) under uncultured bacterium. RNAcentral describes it as "partial 16S ribosomal RNA". It matches the Rfam family "Bacterial small subunit ribosomal RNA", at positions 28 to 507 of the family's 1533-position model. The record is from RNAcentral.
GAUGAACGCUGGCGGCGUGCCUAAUACAUGCAAGUCGAGCGAACGGACGAGAAGCUUGCUUCUCUGAUGAUAGCGGCGGACGGGUGAGUAAAACGUGGAUAACCUACCUAUAAGACUGGGAUAACUUCGGGAAACCGGAGCUAAUACCGGAUAAUAUUUUGAACCGCAUGGUUCAAAAGUGAAAGACGGUCUUGCUGUCACUUAUAGAUGGAUCCGCGCUGCAUUAGCUAGUUGGUAAGGUAACGGCUUACCAAGGCAACGAUGCAUAGCCGACCUGAGAGGGUGAUCGGCCACACUGGAACUGAGACACGGUCCAGACUCCUACGGGAGGCAGCAGUAGGGAAUCUUCCGCAAUGGGCGAAAGCCUGACGGAGCAACGCCGCGUGAGUGAUGAAGGUCUUCGGAUCGUAAAACUCUGUUAUUAGGGAAGAACAUAUGUGUAAGUAACUGUGCACAUCUUGACGGUACCUAAUCAGAAAGCCACGGCUAACUACGUG